This 502-nucleotide long non-coding RNA is filed under the name Nicotiana benthamiana. RNAcentral's name for it is "long non-coding RNA (NBEN_LNC002663)". Lineage: Eukaryota; Viridiplantae; Streptophyta; Magnoliopsida; Solanales; Solanaceae. The record is from RNAcentral.
AUUUUGACCUUGAAUGGAGCAAGCAAAGUAAGAAUAGGUAGAUACCAAGUUGAAAAUUAGGUCAUUCAAGGGUCAUCAGUCAUCAUAGCAAGCAAAAGUAUUUCCGCAUGGUUUGAUUAUCUUGCAAGUGGAUUUGUAGGAAUUAGCUAACCAAUCUUGACAUUACAAUUAAAUCCUCACUAAACACAAAUCUUUGACUAAAUCAUCGACCCUGGAACUCCCAAACCAAUAUUAAAGCUCAAAAGUGUGACAUUCUCAAAAAGAAGACCACAAGCCGAGAACCUUUUGAUGAAACUAUAUUAUUGUAUAUCGUCAAAAAUGAAUGAAUACAGUUCCGUUUCAAUGACCAAGCACACUUACAGUCGAGUUGAUACGAAGAACAGUGCCCUUUCUCUGUGAUUAUAUGACGUGCCUAGUCACAUUCCAAUAAUUUUGUAGCUAUACUGUGACGUUGAACAAGUAAACCCUCAGUACCAAAGCAAGUGCAAGUUGCAACAGGAAG